GUGGAUUAGAUACCCUGGUAGUCCACGCCCUAAACGAUGCGAACUAGGUGUUGGAGAAGGAGACUUCUUUAGUACCGCAGCUAACGCGUGAAGUUCGCCGCCUGGGGAGUACGGUCGCAAGAUUAAAACUCAAAGGAAUUGACGGGGACCCGCACAAGCGGUGGAUGAUGUGGAUUAAUUCGAUGCAACGCGAAAAACCUUACCUACCCUUGACAUGCCUGGAAUCCUGCUGAGAGGCGGGAGUGCCCGAAAGGGAACCGGGACACAGGUGCUGCACGGUCGUCGUCAACU
This 291-nucleotide ribosomal RNA is filed under the name uncultured bacterium. RNAcentral's name for it is "partial 16S ribosomal RNA". It matches the Rfam family "Bacterial small subunit ribosomal RNA", at positions 773 to 1060 of the family's 1533-position model. The record is from RNAcentral.